RNAcentral lists this ribosomal RNA (294 nucleotides) under uncultured eukaryote. RNAcentral describes it as "partial 18S ribosomal RNA". It matches the Rfam family "Eukaryotic small subunit ribosomal RNA", at positions 1470 to 1796 of the family's 1831-position model. The record is from RNAcentral.
CCCUUUGAUACUCUGGGCGGCACGCGCGCUACACUGGUUUAUAUAACGUGUAAUUUGGACGAUAGUCUGUAUAAAUCACUAAUAUAAAACCGUGAAUGGGAUAGUUUAUUGCAACUUACAAACUUUAACUAGGAAUCCCUUGUAGAAGUAGUGAAUUAUACUGCUUCGAAUACGUCCCUGCCGAUUGUACACACCGCCCGUCGUUUCUUCCGACUGGUACUCAUUGUGAAUUGCGAGGAGAUUCUGUCAAAUCGUUGUAAAUGCUGGGUAUUGGAGGAAGAAAAGGUCGUAACA